UGAUUUUGCCCCCUUAGAAAUUUGUGUCAUCUUUCAGUAAAAUCUUCCCAUCUAAUAUAGACAUUUGCAUCGCGACUAGAUGUGAAAACAGAUGCGCUUUUUUGAUUUCAGAACACAUUUUGUGUCGAGCAAAGUGAAAUACUUAUUUCUGAAUCAUUUGCGUGGGUUCUGGUUCUGUUUCCGAAUCUUUUCUACGCGAUUUGUAAUGGCCAAAGAGAUUGCGGUCACUUCGGAGAUUUCAUGUCAAAUCUUAUUUUAUUUUGACAGUCGCACUUUGAGAAAGUUUUGUAUUUGCAGCCGCUGCCAAGCGAAUGCGAACCAAAAAAAAUAGAUAAGUAAAAACAGUGCCAUUCGCUUCCUGUUGCAUUCGACAGUUUAUGCAACUCAGGAAACCACUUCGCAUUACUUUUUAUGCAACUCGCAGCGGGCCUCCAGUUUUAUUUUUAUUUUUAGUUGCCGCUUAUCAAUUUUAAUGUCAAUUGAAACCGGCAGCGGGUAAUAAUGCAUACUAAUAACAAUAGCAACAAAGUCUGGCGAAUCGAGAGCUUAAAUCAAACUCGAAUUGCCGCUGCGAAGUGCGAACCACUCGCUUCCAAGUCGCGAUUCAAACUGCCUCGUAAAUUUACAGACCGCCGAAGUCGGGAACUCGGAAACUCGGGAUCGCAUCGUAGCGCAUUGGAUCGGAUUCUUCAAAAGCCGGGUCUUCGAGGAAAACGAAGCUGCGAGUCUCCGAUGACGAGGAGAAAGACGAAGCUGCGAAGACGUCAGCUUAGAAGGGUUUUUAAAUUAAACUAAGCGUUGUAAACAAGAUCAUUGUGGGCAUGCCGUAAAAAAGGGUAAAAUAUAAAAAGGGUGAAUUUAAAAUGACAAAUAUCAGCUAUAAAACUGAACAAGUAUUCGUUCUUUGUAAUUAUUUCUCAAUUCUUAUUUCGAAAUUCAUUAUUGUUUAAGUCUUACUUUUACAUUUUACCAAAACUUAAAACGAUCAUCUGUAUACACACACAUUUUCUGUACACUUCGUGACUGGAAUGUGACCACAUAAAAAGGGACAACGAAAUUUUUGGGCUGGGCCCACAUCUGCCCAAGCUGAUGAGAUGAAUCACCAGAAAAGAAGAAUUCAACCAAGAAGGCCUAACGCGAAAUUCAUUUAGUCGCACUAAAAAUAAACCAAUGCAAGUUCAGCAACUUGAGGCACAAUGAUGUAAUUGUCUAAAAAUUCAAUAGCUGCCAAGAAACUAAGAAAAAAGGUAGAGGAUCGAGAGCAGCAAGCCACCUUAUCUCGAGAAGUAAUGAAUCACACACAGAAGCAAUAAAAGUAAUCAGCAAUAAGCAGGCAUUCUUGCAGCUCGUAGAUACAUCAGCCAGAUACAGAUACAGCAGCAGAUAUAUAUAUAUAUACAGAUACAGAUACAAACGGGGAAAACAGAGGGUCGCAGUUGAUUUUAGAAGUUUAUGAACAGCUCGGGCUACUGCUGUUUUUCUGCCCCUUUCCGCCGCUGUUGUCACUACAGCGAGGAGGGCAUGGACUAAUGAACAAGUACAGCAGCAACAUCAACAGCACCGCAGCAACAUUGCGGCAUUGCAGCAACAUCGCAGCAGCAACAAUGAUAAUGAAGUAGACUGCGGCGAGCUGCAGCAGAAAACUGCAAGUAUAUCAAAUUUACAAAACAAUUUACAACAGCAUGAGGCGAGGCCUGCAGCUGGAAGAUGAGCACGUUCAAGAUCUCCAGCCGGAGAUCAAAUGCUGUGGACCCUGCGAAGCCCCUAAAACAACAACUUCUGCCAGUUAGAAGCAGUCCAAAAGCAACCUUCGGUCGCCUCCUUUUCCAUCUUUAUUUCUUCGCUUUGUAAUUGUUGCUACAGUUAGGGAAAAACGUAAGUAAACUUCUUAAAAACAUAUAUUUCCAAGAGGCAAGUGUUUGGUUUAAUCAAAAAGUUGAAGAUCAGACGAAUUUAUUUGAAAGAUAAUUGCUAUAGUUUAGAGACUUACUGCCUACAGCUUAGGAACCAAACGUAUAUUUUUGAGUUACAUUUUUUCUCGGAGUGUCUGGUCUGGCUGCUGUAGCUGCUCUUGGUUUGCUUUCCCAGAUGCUGCGCUUGCCACAGCCCACAAGGCAAGUUUGGAAAAUUAUGGCAAAAUCUGCCCUCUUGGAACCGAAACUCCUGGAUGCUGGAUGCAAGAUGCUGGAUGCUAGAUGCUGGAUGCUAGUUGCUGUAUUCUGGAUGCGGCACUCUGGCGGGCCCUUCAUUACUAUGCGCAUUUUCAUUUGCUCCGCUCGUUUGCUCACUCGCUUUCUGCGAUCGCGGCCUGAUAAAUUGUGCUAAAUUACAAAGAUUUCUUUCUGCCUUGACACGCGCUUGGGGACUGCGUCAAAGAGUUGGGCAGACUAAUUGCGCAUACGCCACCUGGGACGUCUGCCAAACAGCGCAUGAAUUCGAGUGUCUCGCGUCCAUCAGAGCAGGGAAAACAGAAAUUCAUCUUAAUUAUUAAUAAAUUGUACUAUAAUGGGCGUCAAGUGUCGUGGGGCGGAAAAUGAGGGUAGAACUUUGGGUGGGGAACAAGCGAAAUGGGCACUCCCUUUCAGAUGAUGUAUCUUCUCUAAAUAUACGCUCUGCACAUUGACCUUGUCCUGUCGCCAAGCACACAGAAAAUAAUACUUUGCAGUUUGUAAAACAAUGUAAUGCAAGUAAAAUUCUCGCAAGAGGAACCCACACAAUUCUUUCUCUCAGUGCACUGAGCCACCAUGAAAAUAGGGAACCCAAAACAGUAACAGCUGUAGCAACCACAACAAUAACAAAAGCGACAGCACUUGAAAACUCAUUUGGCCUGAGAGUGGGGAAUAUAAUAUGCAUUUUGUUUGGUGUGUGGGUCAGAAGAUCGCUCUGACACGAUUUCCUCACAAUUUCUCCACCCAACAGACGAUGGGAUGGUGGGCACCAUAUAUAUACACAUAUAAACUCGUAUAAGGAGGC
Molecule: long non-coding RNA, 2973 nt
Organism: Drosophila simulans
Lineage: Eukaryota; Metazoa; Arthropoda; Insecta; Diptera; Drosophilidae
Exons: 3
Source: RefSeq, a predicted model, not a curated record